This 452-nucleotide long non-coding RNA is filed under the name Citrus sinensis (sweet orange). Its description in RNAcentral is "long non-coding RNA (CSIN_LNC004670)". The record is from RNAcentral. Lineage: Eukaryota; Viridiplantae; Streptophyta; Magnoliopsida; Sapindales; Rutaceae.
GCUAAUGACACCCAAACUAAAUCCCCAAUUUUUAUCACCUUCUCAAGUAAGGAUAAUUUUGAAUUUUUAUCCAAUUGACCCCUAACCCCUACUCAAAUAAAUGAAAUACCCGUAUAACAUCGAAUUUUGAAUAGUAGAGUCCGAAUGUAAUUCUUAAAAUUUAACUUUCAGAUACAUAUAAUUGUGAAACAAACUCAAUUAAUUGUCUUCCCAGAUAGUUGAGCUAUGGAGGGGGAGUUAACACAGGAGCUGUUUGCUAUGAGCAGGCCAACUGUUUGAUAAAAUGCAUCAAUGAACAAAUUCUUGGCAAGUCGGCGGUUCUACAGCAUGGAAGACACCAACAACAAGGCAUGAUACUGAAAGGUCUUCAAGUCUCCAAAAUCAGAGAAGAUCAAUGGACAAGAUUGAGAGCCAAGCAUCAAGGGUCAAGAUUGAUUGUAGUUGCACAANNN